UGGAAAGAGGCAAAACACAGUACCGAAAUGGU
This 32-nucleotide non-coding RNA is filed under the name Rattus norvegicus (Norway rat). Lineage: Eukaryota; Metazoa; Chordata; Mammalia; Rodentia; Muridae. The record is from RNAcentral.